Molecule: ribosomal RNA, 443 nt
Filed under: uncultured bacterium
Lineage: Bacteria
Description: partial 16S ribosomal RNA
Rfam family: Bacterial small subunit ribosomal RNA
Source: RNAcentral
CCUACGGGAGGCAGCAGUGGGGAAUAUUGGGCAAUGGGUGCAAGCCUGACCCAGCAACGCCGCGUGAAGGAAGAAGGCUUUCGGGUUGUAAACUUCUUUUGUCAGGGACGAAGCAAGUGACGGUACCUGACGAAUAAGCCACGGCUAACUACGUGCCAGCAGCCGCGGUAAUACGUCGGUGGCAAGCGUUAUCCGGAUUUACUGGGUGUAAAGGGCGUGUAGGCGGGACUGCAAGUCAGAUGUGAAAACCACGGGCUCAACCUGUGGCCUGCAUUUGAAACUGUAGUUCUUGAGUACUGGAGAGGCAGACGGAAUGCGUAGUGUAGCGGUGAAAUGCGUAGAUAUUAGGAGGAACACCAGUGGCGAAGGCGGUCUGCUGGACAGCAACUGACGCGGAGGCGCGAAAGCGUGGGUAGCAAACAGGAUUAGAUACCCGGGUAGUC